RNAcentral lists this ribosomal RNA (457 nucleotides) under uncultured bacterium. RNAcentral's name for it is "bacterial SSU rRNA". It matches the Rfam family "Bacterial small subunit ribosomal RNA", at positions 340 to 786 of the family's 1533-position model. The record is from RNAcentral.
UACGGGAGGCAGCAGUGGGGAAUAUUGCACAAUGGGCGAAAGCCUGAUGCAGCUAUGCCGCGUGUAUGAAGAAGGCCUUAGGGUUGUAAAGUACUUUCAGCAGGGAGGAAGAAAUAAAACUAAUAAUUUUAUUUUGUGACGUUACCUGAAGAAGAAGCACCGGCUAACUCCGUGCCAGCAGCCGCGGUAAUACGGAGGGUGCAAGCGUUAAUCAGAAUUACUGGGCGUAAAGAGCGCGUAGGUGGUUUUUUUAAGUCAGAUGUGAAAUCCCCUAGGCUUAACCUAGGAACUGCAUUUUGAAACUGAAAAACUAGAGUAUCGUAGAGGGAGGUAGAAUUCUAGGUGUAGCGGUGAAAUGCGUAGAUAUCUGGAGGAAUACCUGUGGCGAAAGCGGCCUCCUAAACGAAUACUGACACUGAGGUGCGAAAGCGUGGGGAGGCAAACAGGAUUAGAUACC